AGUGGGGCCCAGAGAGCCUCAAGGCCGGGGCCUGGAAGAAGCAAGCCCAGGGCAGGUGACAUCUGCCAGAACCAGCUCCGAGGGUGCCCUGCUGGGAUUCCUCAAGGCAUUCAGCAGCAGGAUUUUAGACAGGGAAGGAGCACGAGCACUGCGACCCCCACUGCCAGCUCUCUCUGCUCUUCUGCCCUGGAACCAAUACCCAGUAUUGAUUCUAGAGGGGUGGGGGUGGGGGGAGAGACAGAGACAGAGACAGAGAGAG
This 259-nucleotide long non-coding RNA is filed under the name Monodelphis domestica (gray short-tailed opossum). Its description in RNAcentral is "lncRNA (ENSMODG00000040834.1)". Lineage: Eukaryota; Metazoa; Chordata; Mammalia; Didelphimorphia; Didelphidae. The record is from RNAcentral.